Molecule: long non-coding RNA, 426 nt
Organism: Amblyraja radiata (thorny skate)
Lineage: Eukaryota; Metazoa; Chordata; Chondrichthyes; Rajiformes; Rajidae
Exons: 3
Source: RefSeq, a predicted model, not a curated record
CAGCAGCUGCAGCGGCGGCACUCACCGAGACACAAGGGCUGGAGGUGGUGCUUGGCGUCGGCGACCGCUGCACCGUCACCAAAGCCAUCUAGAGAGCCCCGGACGCGGUCAGUCGCAUCCUCGUCAGCAGUUCUCCGUGAAUUGGUCCAGAGCAGAGUGGAGAGCCAGCGAGAUCGCAUUCACCGUUGAUCUGUUCUGGCGGUGAGCAAACUGCAAUGGGUCCAGGUUUUUGUCGAGAUAUGAAAUCUCUGACUCAGGCAUUAUCUUUCAGUGCCAGAUGGUGACUGAAAUAAGACACGUACCCUGGGAGUAGACGCAUGAAAACUUGGAAUAAAUAUUCAUUAACGUUUGAUCUUAACUUUCAUUCACAAUCUUCUUCCUGCGUAUAUGGCGUGCACCGCCUAAAGUUGUAGGACAUCUUGUUUU